Long non-coding RNA from Motacilla alba alba, 894 nucleotides. RefSeq lists it as uncharacterized. NCBI's taxonomy places the organism in Eukaryota, Metazoa, Chordata, Aves, Passeriformes, Motacillidae. The record is from RefSeq and is a predicted model, not a curated record. The transcript has 3 exons.
AUUGCAGGAUGUUGCACCCCAAGGGAAAUAUCUGAGCAAGGGGCUGGCACACUGCUUCCUGUGGUACCAGGAGAAGCAGAAGCAGAGAGCUCUGCCUGCCUGCCACAGAGUCCUGCUACAUGGCCUCGUUCAUUUGAAUCUGAUCUCACCACUUCUAUGCCUGCUCCAUUCCUCUCUGCUUCACCACUUAAACCAGCAUGUGCUACAAGCCUAAUGUGGGAAAUAGUAAAGUCAUUAUUCUACAACCUGAAAGUGUUUUCAUCAAGGAUAGCUCAAAGGUCUCUGGCCACAGAAACUGCAAGGGAAGGAGGAGAAACUGAGUACAGAGUCUUUUCCACAGCUGUGUCCAUGACAGUGACAUCAGUGGAUAUACCUAGGCAGGUAAAAAUCCAUGAUUUUUAUUCCCAUUGGUUUGGUGCAUACAAGGACUGAUCAGAAGAAAACCUUAGAUGGAGGGUUGUGUAGAGCUUUAUUUCUAGCAGUAUUUGCAAAACCAGGCAGUUCCUCCCAAGUGUGUGCUGAGAGCAGGGAGUCCAAACCCACCCCCAGCAGCAGAGAGGCCCAGGGAAAGUCCUCCCUAACUGUGCACAAUUUCUGGGGAAACCUCAGUCAUUCCCUCUGACUUCUGAAGCUGUGCAUAUGGAAAAGAACUAGGUUUUAAUUCUAAUCUAUCACACGUGUCAAAAUAUCUGGACAAUUAAGUCUGGCAUCCCUGCUGUAAAUCGUAACAGGAACUUUAUGUAUCUCUUUCUUAACUGUCUAAAAAUACAGUGCAGGCUCUGGCCUACUCCAUCCUCUUUGGACUCCUGCAAAGAACAGACAUUGAAAAAUGGACCAACUUCUCUGGAGAAGGGUCUCACCACAGGAAGAUUGCAGUAGGCAUAAAGGUCCUGU